GAUGAACGCUGGCGGCGUGCCUAAUACGUGCGAGUCGAGCGAACAGAUGAGGAGCUUGCUCCUCUGACGUUAGCGGCGGACGGGUGAGUAACACGUGGAUAACCUACCUAUAAGACUGGGAUAACUUCGGGAAACCGGAGCUAAUACCGGAUAAUAUAUUGAACCGCAUGGUUCAAUAGUGAAAGACGGUUUUGCUGUCACUUAUAGAUGGAUCCGCGCCGCAUUAGCUAGUUGGUAAGGUAACGGCUUACCAAGGCAACGAUGCGUAGCCGACCUGAGAGGGUGAUCGGCCACACUGGAACUGAGACACGGUCCAGACUCCUACGGGAGGCAGCAGUAGGGAAUCUUCCGCAAUGGGCGAAAGCCUGACGGAGCAACGCCGCGUGAGUGAUGAAGGUCUUCGGAUCGUAAAACUCUGUUAUUAGGGAAGAACAAAUGUGUAAGUAACUAUGCACGUCUUGACGGUACCUAAUCAGAAAGCCACGGCUAACUACGUG
Molecule: ribosomal RNA, 497 nt
Filed under: uncultured bacterium
Lineage: Bacteria
Description: partial 16S ribosomal RNA
Rfam family: Bacterial small subunit ribosomal RNA
Source: RNAcentral